AAAUAGGAUUCUCUUAGUAAUGGCGAAUGAACUGGGAUGAGCUCACCAUGGGAAUCGGGGUCUUCGACCUUGAAUUGUAGUCUUGAGACGCACCGCCAACAGAGGCGCAGGUGUAAGCCUCUUGGAAGAGAGCAUCGCGGAGGGUGAGAGUCCCGUCUGUCACCUGCAGUCCCCUGUGUACGGCAUGCGUUCUGAGAGUCACGUUCCUCGGGAUUGGAGCGCAAAUUGGGUGGUAAGUUUCACCUUAAGCUAAAUAUUGGUCCGAGACCGAUAGCAAACAAGUACCAUGAGGGAAAGGUGAAAAGGACUUUGAAAAGAGAGUUAAAAGUGCUUGAAAUUGCUGAAAGGGAAGCGAAUGGAACCAGUUCUGCUGGGCGAGAUUGUCGCAUGCCAAGGCCCUGUGCCGGCCGCAUGCGGUGCUUCUUGCCUUGUGUGUCAGCUGCGGUCCGAAGUUGGGGAAAACUCUGGGGACAUGGAUGCCAACCUCCGGGGGGGUGAAUGUGCCUGGCAAGACCCGUCCUUGGACUGUGAGCAGUGCUUCGGCAUGUUUGCGGUGCUGACGAAAUGCUUCUAUUCGACCCGUCUUGAAACACGGACCGAGGAGUCUAACAUGUGUGCGAGCUCACGGGUGUCAAACCUGCUUGCGCAAUGAAAGUGACUGCUGGGAUACUUGCACCAGCAACCGAUCUGUCAACUGAGAGAGAUUUGAGUUUGAGCAUACCUGUUAGGACCCGAAAGAUGGUGAACUAUGCUUGUGUAGGGCAAAGCCAGGGGAAACUCUGGUGGAGGCUCGUAGCGAUACUGACGUGCAAAUCGUUCGUCAAACAUGAGUAUA
RNAcentral lists this ribosomal RNA (835 nucleotides) under Akashiwo sanguinea. Its description in RNAcentral is "partial large subunit ribosomal RNA". It matches the Rfam family "Eukaryotic large subunit ribosomal RNA", at positions 67 to 919 of the family's 3401-position model. Lineage: Eukaryota; Dinophyceae; Gymnodiniales; Gymnodiniaceae. The record is from RNAcentral.